RNAcentral lists this ribosomal RNA (327 nucleotides) under Camponotus sp. MG005. RNAcentral describes it as "partial 12S ribosomal RNA". The record is from RNAcentral. Lineage: Eukaryota; Metazoa; Arthropoda; Insecta; Hymenoptera; Formicidae.
UUUUAUUAAAAUUAAUUUUAAUUUAAUUAUUAAAUGUAAAUCAUUAAAAAUAAAAAAUUUGGCGGUAUUUAUUAUUUAGAGGAACUUGUUUAUUAAAUUGAUAAUCCACGAAUGGAAAAACUUAAUUUUUUUUUAUGUAUUGUUGUUGAAAGAUUAUAUUAAUAGAUAUUAAUUAAUAAAUUUAAUUUAAAUUACAAUUCAAAUCAAAAUGUAGAAUAAUUAAGAGAUUGAUGAGUUACAAUUAAAUUAAUAAUUGGAGUUUAAAAAAAAUUUAAUUUUAUAAAUGAAAAUGGAUUUAAAAGUAAAUUUAUAUAAAUUAUAAAUGAA